ACAAAACCACAAGAGCCUUAAACUACCUCACCUAAUCUUUAACAAGUGAACCAUAUGCUCCAUUGCAUUCAUCACUUCCUCAUGAGGUGGCAGUUUGGAUGAGAACAAGUGCCCAGGAAGUCACCCUGUUUAUUCUCUCCCGGCCUCUUAAUGCCUGUGGAACUUUUUUUAUUGAAUUCUUUUCAUGGCCAUCAGCUUUGGUGUGGGAAAUGAUUCCAAGAGACAAAGACUCGGUUCCUCACAGGAAAUUCAGUCCCUGGCAAGCUUCAGCUCCAGACAGGAAACAUUCUGAGGAAUUUCUUCCAUACAGUUGUGUUUCCGUGUGGGACCACAGAAAAGGCUGGGGAGUCACAUCCCUUGCCAAGAGAAGGCCACAUGCUGGCUUUGCACACUUUGCCACUGGUUUGAAGCAGUGAGGAGCACUGGGCAGCUGUCCUAUCACAGGACACAACACAGCCCUCUCAUCUUUGCUGCAAAGGGCUUGCAACUGAAUCAAGCAAGCUAAUUUCCAGUGGAUGGGAGGGAGGGAGCCAGGCUUGAAAAUUGAUCACACCAGAAUUAAAUUACUGUUUUUCCAGUAUACUAUGUCCCAGUGGACAACUGUUUUAAAAGUUCUGGCAGAAUAACAUCUCCCACAACAGCACUG
Molecule: long non-coding RNA, 646 nt
Organism: Poecile atricapillus (Black-capped chickadee)
Lineage: Eukaryota; Metazoa; Chordata; Aves; Passeriformes; Paridae
Exons: 3
Source: RefSeq, a predicted model, not a curated record